GGUGUGAGGAACAGCUCAUUGUGUUCAUUCAACCUGCUUGAACACUGAGCCCAAUCACAGAAGGAGCUGAGCUUCUGUCCUGCCACAGAACUCAUCACAAGCAGGCGGCUGCUGGAGGCCAUAGCCACGUGUAGGGAAGGUCUUUCAGUGAGAUUUCAUGUCCUGUAGUUUUCAAAUCAAAACCUAUGAAGUGAGGGGCAACUUGUGAGGUUGUUCUGCAAAGCAGAGCUCAGAAGUAAGCUCUUCUCCUUGGAGCUUAGCCAAACACUCCUGACCAAACACCUUUGGGCAACUGGUCAAAUCCAGUGAUCCCCUGAAGGUCUGCAAGGAGCUCUCACAGGCCAAACUCAGAAGAAGUCCCCUUCAAGAUGACUGUCAGCCGGACACAGAAGCAGCCUUCUUCUGUAGCAUGUGAGAGAGUGAUGCAAUCAAGACUCCAUCACAUCAUAUUUCAAAUACUCAGUUGCUCAUUGAAUGGUAGAAUCUCCACCCUUGCUUCC
RNAcentral lists this long non-coding RNA (500 nucleotides) under Manacus vitellinus (golden-collared manakin). RNAcentral describes it as "lncRNA (ENSMVIG00005008264.1)". Lineage: Eukaryota; Metazoa; Chordata; Aves; Passeriformes; Pipridae. The record is from RNAcentral.